ACCAAUUGGUUCAAAUGGAAUAAUCCAUUAGACUGAAUUUAUUAUUUUUCUUUUUCUUUUCCCGUUUUUUGAAUGGCUUCUAGCAGUGAAGCAUAAAAUAUGAAUUAUGGAAUAGGGUUUGGGAGCUAGAUCUAGGUCCUGGUUGAAGUCUAUUAUAAGCUUUUAUAGAGCUCUAAUGGAAGCCUUAUCUCUUGUGAUAUGCUUUCUCUUACAGUAAAUGGAGCUUUCCCCUUUCGGCAUCUUCAAAGCAGAUUGUAAUGCUUUCUUAAUCUCAUUUUCUUCUAAUCUACUUUGCAGUGGUUUUCCUUUCCUCUCCGCCGCUGCGAUUAUGGCUUCUGUUAGAUUCCCGAGCCAAAACCAUUUGUUCGGAUCAAGAUGACAGCCGCUGCACCAGAGUUAGCACUCCAGCAUCCAAAGCUGGCUCGACGCAGUAGCUCCUUCUCCGCAACCAUGCAGCUCCUCCAAACCAAAGACUUCGUGCCUGAUCGAACUUUACAAAGCCUCAUCUAAAAGAUUAAUGUUUCGGCAUUGUUGAGAUGUUAUCCCCUUAGUCUCCAAAGGGUCAUGGAAUGAUGCUGAGGAAAAAGUAAGGGGUAAUGAAGGAGCCAUGUUCGCAUGUAACCUAAAGGUGGAAAAAAGCUUGAUCAAGAUGGGGCCAUGGGUGGUAGUACCUAAUGCCAAAUCACCUCAAUACGAGAAUCAUAUUGUCAUUGUAACUUAAUUCAAGCUCAGCCUUUACGUUGGCGCUCUCUCAUUGCCACAAACUACAAACACAAACAUAAAAAACAGGGCCCCUUUGGUGGGGUGAGGAUAAAUAGUUACGAACUCAUACCCUAGGGAAAGGCAUUUAACUUUUCAAUGUCCAUCAUAGAAAUCAUCAUUUCGUGCCACCUUUGAUUCCUUUUGGGCACAUAAAAAAUGUAUACAAACCCUUUUCCUUAUACCUUUACUGUCUUCUUUACCUUCCACACUUUCAUAUAAUCCACCAUCCCAGUCAAACCUUUCAUUCAUUCCAUUACAUUCAAUCAAAAUUUUAUCUUUA
This is a long non-coding RNA of Vigna angularis (adzuki bean), 1042 nucleotides long. RefSeq lists it as uncharacterized. The transcript has 2 exons. Lineage: Eukaryota; Viridiplantae; Streptophyta; Magnoliopsida; Fabales; Fabaceae. The record is from RefSeq and is a predicted model, not a curated record.